UACAGAGGUCCCAAGCGUUGUUCGGAUUCACUGGGCGUAAAGGGUGCGCAGGUGGGUUUGCAAGUUCGAUGUGAAAGCCCCGGGCUUAACCCGGGAAUGGCAUUGGAUACUGCAGAUCUGGAGGAUCGGAGGGGGGACUGGAAUUCUUGGUGUAGCAGUGAAAUGCGUAGAUAUCAAGAGGAACACCAGUGGCGAAGGCGAGUCUCUGGGCCGAUACUGACGCUGAGGAGCGAAAGCGUGGGGAGCGAACAGG
Molecule: ribosomal RNA, 253 nt
Filed under: uncultured bacterium
Lineage: Bacteria
Description: partial 16S ribosomal RNA
Rfam family: Bacterial small subunit ribosomal RNA
Source: RNAcentral